CUUCACCGGUUGGAUUUCUACCUGUCUUCCCCCCGUCAAGCUGCACCAGUGGGAUUCCUGCCUGCUUCCUCCUGGAAGGCAAGGAUGGCAGGCAGGAGUCCACCAGGUAGAGCGCGAGGCUUUAGGGAGAAAUCCGCCCCGAGAGCUUCACCAGUUGAAUUCCUGCCCGCCGGCAGGCCGGUAUCACACAGGUCAAGCUUCCCUAUGGGAUUCUAGGGGAGGAAUUGCAUUGAGAGGGGAAUCCAGAUCAGGCAGGAAUUCAACAGGUAGAGCAGAUUCAUCAAUAGAUCAGGCAGGAAUUCAACAGGUUGAUCAGGCAGGAAUUCAUCAAUAGAUCAGGCAGAAAUUCAACAGGUAGAUCAGGCAGGUAGAUCAGGCAGCGAUUCAUCAGGUAGAGCAGAUUCAUCAAUAGAUGAGGCAGCGAUUCAACAGGUAGAUCAGGCAGCCAUUCACCAGGUAGAUCAGGCAGGAAUUCACCAGGUUAAUCAGGCAGGAAUUCAUCAAUAGAUCAGGCAGAAAUUCAACAGGUAGAUCAGGCAGUUAGAUCAGGCAGCGAUUCACCAGGUAGAUAUUGAAUAGAUCAGGCAGCAAUUCACGAGGUAGAUAGUGAAUAGAUCAGGCAGCAAUUCACCAGGUAGAGCAUGCAGGUAGAUCAGGCAGCAAUUCAUCAGGUAGAUCAGGCAGGAAUUCAUCAGGCAAAUAUCAAUAAAUCAGGCAGAAAUUCACCAGGUAGAUCAGGCAGGUAGAUCAGGCAAAAAUUCACCAGGUAGAUAUUGAAUAGAUCAGGCAGCAAUUCCCCAGGUAGAUCAGGCAGCAAUUCCCCAGGUUGAAAUUGAAUAGAUCAGGCAGCAAUUCACCAGGUUAAUCAGGCAAGAAUUCAUCAGGCAGAUAUCAAUAAAUCAGGCAGAAAUUCACCAGGUAGAGCAGAUUCAUCAACAGAUCAGGCAGCAAUUCAUCAGGUAGAUCAGGCAGGAAUUCAUCAGGCAGAUAUCAAUAAAUCAGGCAGAAAUUCACCAGGUAGAUCAGGCAGGAAUUCAUCAAUAGGUCAGGCAGCGAUUCAACAGGUAGAUCAGGCAGAAAUUCACCAGGUAGACCAGGCAGCGAUUCAACAGGUAGAUCAGGCAGGAAUUCACCAGGCAGAUCAGGCAGGAAUUCAUCAAUAGAUCAGGCAGAAAUUCACUAGGUAGAUCAGGCAGGAAUUCAUCAGGUAGAUCAGGCAGCAAUUCACCAGGUAGAUCAGGCAGCGAUUCACCAGGUAGAUCAGGCAGCAAUUCAUCAGGUAGAUCAGGCAGCAAUUCACCAGGUAGAUAUCAAUAGAUCAGGCAGCAAUUCACCAGGCAGAUCAGGAAGAAAUUCACCAGGUAGAUAUUGAAUAGAUCAGGCAGAAAUUCACCAGGUAGAUCAGGCAGGUAGAUCAGGCAGCAAUACACCAGGUAGAUCAGGCAAGAUAGCAAUAAAUCAGGCAGAAAUUCAACAGGUAGAUCAGGCAGCGAUUCAGCAGGUAGAUCAGGCAGCAAUUCAUCAGGUAGAUCAGGCAGGAAUUCACCAGGUUAAUCAGGCAAGAAUUCAUCAGGCAGAUAUCAAUAAAUCAGGCAGAAAUUCACCAGGUAGAUCAGGCAGGUAGAUCAGGCAGCGAUUCAUGAGGUAGAUCAGGCAGAAAUUCACCAGGUAGAUAUUGAAUAGAUCAGGCAGCAAUUCCCCAGGUAGAUAUUGAAUAGAUCAGGCAGAAAUUCACCAGGAAGAUCAGGCAGGAAUUGAACAGGUAGAUCAGGCAGAAAUUCACCAGGUAGAUCAGGCAGGAAUUCACCAGGUAGAUCAGGCAGGAAUUCAUCAAUAGAUCAGGCAGAAAUUCAACAGGUAGAUCAGGCAGGUAGAUCAGGCAGCAAUUCACCAGGUAGAUCAGGCAGAAAUUCACCAGGUAGAUCAGGCAGCAAUUCACCAGGUUGAUAUUGAAUAGAUCAGGCAGCAAUUCCCCAGGUAGAUCAUGCAGGUAGAUCAGGCCGCAAUCCACCAGGUAGAGCGCAAAGAUCAGGCCGCCGUUCCCCAACAGAUCAGGCCGCAAUCCACCAGGUAGAGCGCGAAAAUUUCCCUCCCCUUCGUACCUAAAUCCCCAUUAAUUCAGGCAGAAAUCCCACCGGAAAAGCCCGUUUUUCAGACCAGCUUCACCUGUUGAACUCCUGCCUGCCGACAGCAAUUCCCCAACAGAUCAGGCCGCAAUCCACCAGGUAGAGCGCGAAGCUUUUCCUCCCUUGAAUACCCAAAUCCCCAUUAAUUCAGGCAGAAAUCUCACAGGUAAAGCCAAUUUUCAGACAGAAAUCUCACUGGUAAAGCCAAUUUUCAGGCAGAUAUCCCACCGGAAAAGCCAAUUUUUCAGACUCCCCUUUAAUACCUAAAUUCCCAUUAAUUCAGGCAGAAAUCUCACUGGCAAAGCCAAUUUUCAGGCAGAAAU
Molecule: long non-coding RNA, 2449 nt
Filed under: Podarcis lilfordi (Lilford's wall lizard)
Lineage: Eukaryota; Metazoa; Chordata; Lepidosauria; Squamata; Lacertidae
Source: RNAcentral